RNAcentral lists this ribosomal RNA (552 nucleotides) under uncultured bacterium. RNAcentral describes it as "bacterial SSU rRNA". It matches the Rfam family "Bacterial small subunit ribosomal RNA", at positions 370 to 917 of the family's 1533-position model. The record is from RNAcentral.
CCUGGGCGCAAGCCUGAUCCAGCAAUCCCGUGUGUGUGAUGAAGGCCCUAGGGUUGUAAAGCACUGUCAGUAGGGACGAAUUGCUUCGGGUAACGCCGAANAGUGACGGUACCUACAGAGGAAGGACCGGCUAACUCCGUGCCAGCAGCCGCGGUAAUACGGAGGGUCCAAGCGUUGUUCGGAAUCACUGGGCGUAAAGCGCGUGUAGGCGGUUUCGUCANUCGGAUGUGAAAUCCCGGGGCUCAACCCCGGACGUGCAUCCGAUACUGCGAAACUAGAAUCCCGGAGGGGGUGGCGGAAUUCCUGGUGUAGAGGUGAAAUUCGUAGAUAUCAGGAGGAACACCCGUGGCGAAGGCGGCCACCUGGACGGGCAUUGACGCUGAGACGCGAAAGCGUGGGUAGCAAACAGGAUUAGAUACCCUGGUAGUCCACGCCGUAAACGAUGAGUGCUAGGUGUUGCGGGUAUUGACCCCUGCAGUGCCGAAGUUAACACAUUAAGCACUCCGCCUGGGGAGUACGGUCGCAAGAUUAAAACUCAAAGGAAUUGACGGG